AAACUUUCAACAAUGGAUCUCUUGGUUCGCAAUCGAUGAAGAACGCAGCGAAAUGCGAUAACUAAUUGGAAUUGCAGAAUUCAGUGAAUCAUCGAGUCUUUGAACCAAAUUGCCCCCCUGGUAUUCCGGGGGCAUGCCUGUCCGAGCGUCAUU
This 153-nucleotide ribosomal RNA is filed under the name Aspergillus niger. Its description in RNAcentral is "5.8S ribosomal RNA". It matches the Rfam family "5.8S ribosomal RNA". Rfam says of the family: 5.8S ribosomal RNA (5.8S rRNA) is a component of the large subunit of the eukaryotic ribosome. Lineage: Eukaryota; Fungi; Ascomycota; Eurotiomycetes; Eurotiales; Aspergillaceae. The record is from RNAcentral.